UUUUCUUUAAUAUGAUUAUGUAGAUGUGACACUUAUGGUGUUUAGUCUUUCUAACUUAUUCCUUAGUAUGGUAGAGGGAUUAAUAUGAUAGGUGAGGGAGUGUUUAUUAUGUUCAAAAAUUUAAAUAUUCUUUAAAACAUAUAAGGAUGAAAAUAAGCCACAAAUUUAUUAGUGAAUUUUGUAACUUAUGUUAUCUCUAACUUUUUGCCAUUUUAUACACUUAUUAUACUCAUCAACAUAAAUGAAAUACUCAUGUUUUUAGGAGGAAUUAAGCUAAAUUUUUGAGGAGGAAGGCCUUGCAUACGGUACAUUUACAUCAUUUAAAAUAAUAUUUGUUGGUUUUUCUAAUUUUCAAUAUUUUUAGACACAUCUUAAUUGGUUGUUUUGUCUCUUUUUAGAUGUACGACCCUAAUAAUUCAAAGUUUGGGUUUGGGUGGUAUCUGAAAAUCAUUAACCACUUGCAUCCAAUUGUCUUAUUACUGCAUGUUCCUCAUCCGUUAUUGUAAGUUUUGGUUUCAUGUUUAGUGUAAUUUAUAGCUUUUGACUC
Molecule: long non-coding RNA, 547 nt
Filed under: Cicer arietinum (chickpea)
Lineage: Eukaryota; Viridiplantae; Streptophyta; Magnoliopsida; Fabales; Fabaceae
Description: long non-coding RNA (CARI_LNC003756)
Source: RNAcentral